This 297-nucleotide unclassified non-coding RNA is filed under the name uncultured Psathyrella. RNAcentral describes it as "sequence contains ITS2". The record is from RNAcentral. Lineage: Eukaryota; Fungi; Basidiomycota; Agaricomycetes; Agaricales; Psathyrellaceae.
AACGCACCUUGCGCUCCCUGGUAUUCCUAGGAGCAUGCCUGUUUGAGUGUCAUUAAAUUCUCAACUUCAUCAGUUUUGUUAUGAGACUGUGUGAAGCUUGGAUGUGGGGGCUUGUGCAGAAUGCUUAAUUGUAGGCUGCUCCCCUUAAAUGAAUUAGCGAGUUCAAACUGAGCUCCGUCUAUUGGUGUGAUAAUUAUCUACGCCGUGGAUUGGACUUAGACUUGCUUCUAACCGUCCGCAAGGACAAUCUUUUGACAAUUUGACCUCAAAUCAGGUAGGACUACCCGCUGAACUUAA